UACGUAGGGUGCAAGCGUUGUCCGGAAUUAUUGGGCGUAAAGAGCUUGUAGGCGGUUUGUCGCGUUGUUCGUGAAAACUCACAGCUCAACUGUGGGCGUGCGGGCGAUACGGGCAGACUGGAGUACUGCAGGGGAGACUGGAAUUCCUGGUGUAGCGGUGGAAUGCGCAGAUAUCAGGAGGAACACCGGUGGCGAAGGCGGGUCUCUGGGCAGUAACUGACGCUGAGGAGCGAAAGCGUGGGGAGCGAACAGG
Molecule: ribosomal RNA, 253 nt
Filed under: uncultured bacterium
Lineage: Bacteria
Description: partial 16S ribosomal RNA
Rfam family: Bacterial small subunit ribosomal RNA
Source: RNAcentral